This 468-nucleotide ribosomal RNA is filed under the name uncultured bacterium. RNAcentral's name for it is "partial 16S ribosomal RNA". It matches the Rfam family "Bacterial small subunit ribosomal RNA", at positions 28 to 507 of the family's 1533-position model. The record is from RNAcentral.
GACGAACGCUGUCGGCGUGCUUAACACAUGCAAGUCGAACGGAAAGGCCCUGCUUUUGUCGGGUGCUCGAGUGGCGAACGGGUGAGUAACACGUGAGUAACCUGCCUUGUACUUGGGGAUAACUUCAGGAAACGGGGGCUAAUACCGGAUAGGAGCACCUGCUGCAUGGUGGGGGUUGGAAAGUUUCGGUGGUUGGGGAUGGACUGGCGGCUUAUCAGUUUGUUGGGGGGGUGGUGGCUUACCAAGGCUUUGACGGGUAGCCGGCCUGAGAGGGUGACGGGCCCCAUUGGGCCAGAGAAAGCGCCCGGAGUCAUACGGCGGGAAGGGGUGGAGGUUAUUGCAAGCUAGGCGGAGGCCUGAUACAGCAACGCCGCGUGCGGGAUGUCGGCCUUAGGGUUAUAAAGAGCUUUCGCCUGUGAAGAAGCGUGAGUGACGGUAAUGGAUCAAAAAGCACCGGCUAACUACGUG